GUUCACAGCAGCUCCUCACCUGUUUGUAAGGAGAAUAAGCAUUCUGCUGGGAGGCUGCCUGUAGGAUCAGACUCGUACAGCAGGCAUGCCAGCCUUUGCUGCAGUCACUACUGGCUCUUCAGCUUCUGUCAUGAACACUGUAGAAGUCCUACUGAAUGUCCUUUUAGAUCUCUCUAGCUUCACAAGUUUCAGUUUGUAUCCACAUUUUGUGCCUAAAGAGGCAGAGACCCUGUGAAACCAAAGAUCCAGAUAAAACAAGCUGCAAAAGCUUGAUUAAUUCUUCCAGCAAGCUACAUUUUCAAGGCCUCAUAUGAAUUAUUCAUCUCUCAAGUAUUCCGAAGAAAAAACUGUAAGAAAUGGAAUUCCCUGCUGAUCACAUUUUAGAGUUUCCUGAGAAGGAAAGCAACUGAUGCCACACAAUGGCAAAGAAGGAAGCUGUGUAGCAUCACAGUGCAAUGGAGCAUGAUCUUGUCCCGCUUACUUCAAGUUUCAUCAGUCCUUUAGAGCACUCCAGUCAUUAGAAGUCAGUUUGUAUAUUUGAUACUGAUACAUCACAUCAGGGCUGGUACAAGUUCAAGUUGUGCACAGUGUGCUCUGAAAACAAAAGCACUGCGCAGCUCCAUAACCAGUACCUCCAACAACACAGCUGUUUACUGCAUUCUCAUGAUACUGUUUCCAUCUCUACAGUUACUGUUAGUGGGAGGGCUUUUGCACAGGCUCCUGAAAAGCUGCGUCAGCAAUCUCAGUGCCAAGUCUUCUAGCACAGCAAAAGCUGGUACACAGUCCCAUUCAGACAAGCAGUGGUGUUUUGCCUGAAAUACCCAGCAUAUCAGCAUUAAAAAAUGUAGAAAAUAAUCACUGCCAAUUCCUACUUUUGUGACAACACCACCCCUAAGAGCAAAACAGUGAAAAGAGCCAAAGUAGGAGUUUCUUUGAGAGUCUUUUAGUUCUUGUCUUAGUCCUACUUGAAAAUAUUGCCGAGACAUGACCUACAGAUACUAUACUUCAAGUUGACCCCAUGAAAAUUCAAAUGGAGACAAGCUGAAUACUUUCCAAAGUAAGAAAUGAGUAAGAAUGCCAACUACCAAUGCAUCAACAGUAAUGAAGGAACAGUUGACAGCAUUUACUGGAUCUGAGGAAAGAAGAUGAUAGCCUUCCUCAGGUUCCCUCACUUAUGCAUCUACAUGUUUAUGCCUGAGAAAUCUUUUUUUAUAUGGUUUGUGUGUUACUUGCUUUAUCACGUUAUGUUGGCUGUACGCUGUGUAUCUUAUCUGCAUGCUGUUUUUUCCUAUCUUAUUUUGCUUGGGUUUGGUCUUUGACCUAGUUUUCCA
Centrocercus urophasianus (Greater sage-grouse) is the source of this 1331-nucleotide long non-coding RNA. RefSeq lists it as uncharacterized. The transcript has 4 exons. NCBI's taxonomy places the organism in Eukaryota, Metazoa, Chordata, Aves, Galliformes, Phasianidae. The record is from RefSeq and is a predicted model, not a curated record.